This 719-nucleotide ribosomal RNA is filed under the name uncultured bacterium. RNAcentral describes it as "bacterial SSU rRNA". It matches the Rfam family "Bacterial small subunit ribosomal RNA", at positions 8 to 722 of the family's 1533-position model. The record is from RNAcentral.
AGAGUUUGAUCAUGGCUCAGAUUGAACGCUGGCGGCAUGCCUUACACAUGCAAGUCGAACGGCAGCACGGGGGCAACCCUGGUGGCGAGUGGCGAACGGGUGAGUAAUACAUCGGAACGUGUCCUAUCGUGGGGGAUAGCUCGGCGAAAGCCGGAUUAAUACCGCAUGUGAUCGAGAGAUGAAAGCAGGGGACCGCAAGGCCUUGCGCGAUUGGAGCGGCCGAUGUCGGAUUAGCUUGUUGGCGGGGUAAAAGCCCACCAAGGCGACGAUCCGUAGCUGGUUUGAGAGAACGACCAGCCACACUGGGACUGAGACACGGCCCAGACUCCUACGGGAGGCAGCAGUGGGGAAUUUUGGACAAUGGGGGCAACCCUGAUCCAGCCAUGCCGCGUGUGUGAAGAAGGCCUUCGGGUUGUAAAGCACUUUCGGACGGAACGAAAUCGCACGGGUGAAUAUCCCGUGUGGAUGACGGUACUGUAAGAAGAAGCACCGGCUAACUACGUGCCAGCAGCCGCGGUAAUACGUAGGGUGCGAGCGUUAAUCGGAAUUACUGGGCGUAAAGCGUGCGCAGGCUGCUUCGCAAGUCAGACGUGAAAUCCCCGGGCUUAACCUGGGAAUGGCGUUUGAAACUACGGAGCUGGAGUGUGGCAGAGGGGGGUAGAAUUCCACGUGUAGCGGUGAAAUGCGUAGAUAUGUGGAGGAAUACCGAUGGCGAAGGC